UAGUAUAUGGAAUCUCCAUUCUAUAAACACCAUCUGCGUAUAUUAUACCUGUUGCUUCCAUGGGCCUUGGGCCUAGCGCCCGCAUCGGCCCAAAGGCUGGUGAGUGCCCAUGGAAGAAAAACAUAAACCCUCGUUUUUUAUGAAUCAAGUCUGAAAUUGUUUGUAAUAAACGUUA
RNAcentral lists this unclassified non-coding RNA (175 nucleotides) under uncultured Ascomycota. Its description in RNAcentral is "sequence contains ITS1". Lineage: Eukaryota; Fungi; Ascomycota. The record is from RNAcentral.